AAGAGUGGUUUUAAGCAUGCUGGCGGCGUGCCUAAUACAUGCAAGUCGAGCGGACAGAUGGGAGCUUGCUCCCUGAAGUCAGCGGCGGACGGGUGAGUAACACGUGGGCAACCUGCCUGUAAGACUGGGAUAACUCCGGGAAACCGGGGCUAAUACCGGAUAAUUCUUUCCCUCACAUGAGGGAAAGCUGAAAGAUGGUUUCGGCUAUCACUUACAGAUGGGCCCGCGGCGCAUUAGCUAGUUGGUGAGGUAACGGCUCACCAAGGCAACGAUGCGUAGCCGACCUGAGAGGGUGAUCGGCCACACUGGGACUGAGACACGGCCCAGACUCCUACGGGAGGCAGCAGUAGGGAAUCUUCCGCAAUGGACGAAAGUCUGACGGAGCAACGCCGCGUGAGUGAUGAAGGUUUUCGGAUCGUAAAACUCUGUUGUUAGGGAAGAACAAGUACCGGAGUAACUGCCGGUACCUUGACGGUACCUAACCAGAAAGCCACGGCUAACUACGUGCCAGCAGCCGCGGUAAUACGUAGGUGGCAAGCGUUGUCCGGAAUUAUUGGGCGUAAAGCGCGCGCAGGCGGUUCCUUAAGUCUGAUGUGAAAGCCCCCGGCUCAACCGGGGAGGGUCAUUGGAAACUGGGGAACUUGAGUGCAGAAGAAAAGAGUGGAAUUUCACGUGUA
This 677-nucleotide ribosomal RNA is filed under the name Bacillus sp. JS15. RNAcentral describes it as "bacterial SSU rRNA". It matches the Rfam family "Bacterial small subunit ribosomal RNA", at positions 1 to 677 of the family's 1533-position model. Lineage: Bacteria; Bacillati; Bacillota; Bacilli; Caryophanales; Bacillaceae. The record is from RNAcentral.